UUAGAGUAAUGGCUGCCGCAAUGUCUCUAACAUUUGGACGGGGAGGAGCGCUACUUGGAAACUUAAUAUUCGGAUUUCUUAUUGACUACAAUUGCACUAUUCCACUUAUUCUCUUUUCGGGAAUGUUAUUUUUAUGUGCGUUCUUAUGUUGGCUUUUACCAAAGACUGGAUCGGAAGCACUGGAUUAAACCUACAAUAAUGGAAAAAUCUUCUAUACUAAUCGUGUUAAUAUUAAUUGAGAAUCAAUUAAUAAUCAAAUCAAAUCAAUCAAAUUAAUAAUUUGUAGAAUAAAAUAGUUGUAACUUUUUGCCUAUUGCUGAUAUAUAAAAUGUUGCUACCAUUAAAACGUAUA
Molecule: long non-coding RNA, 352 nt
Organism: Drosophila serrata
Lineage: Eukaryota; Metazoa; Arthropoda; Insecta; Diptera; Drosophilidae
Source: RefSeq, a predicted model, not a curated record